Molecule: long non-coding RNA, 670 nt
Organism: Ostrea edulis (European flat oyster)
Lineage: Eukaryota; Metazoa; Mollusca; Bivalvia; Ostreida; Ostreidae
Exons: 2
Source: RefSeq, a predicted model, not a curated record
UUACCCGAUAUAGUAUUGCGUUGUGUGACGACACAAUUGAAUGAGACGAUCGAACAAUUUGAAUGACAUGUUUGAUGUAAUACAACAAGAGUUUUCAUUGGCCGAUUACAGCCCGCCCACUUUCUCGAGCGGAUUCAGUGUAGCUGGAGAACUGUACAUAUACACUGUCAUGAUCGUGUGCAGGAUUGGACAAAACAAGAUGGCAGACGGCAUUUCCAAACAAAGAUCCAGUCAGGAGCGGACUUCCUUAAGCUUAAAAGUUGCAAGUGAAUGAAGUGUGUUCUAUUUUAUGUCUCCUAAUAAAACCAUGGUUUUGACAAACCUAAAAGAGCACGUGGAGCAAGGAACUAUCAGUAAGCCGGAAGAGCCAGCUCGAAAAUCUUUACGUGUUUGAGAAUUGCACCGCGCACAUGAAUCUAAAGUUCUGUCACACGUUAGAAGGAGCCUUGUUGUCGAAGAUCAACAUGUUGAAAAGUCUUCAUUUUGCAGAAGCAAAUACAUUUAUAUUGUAUAUACACAUGUAGACCAUGUUCGAUUCCCAACCACUUAACAUUUGUGAUAUCUGCAUGGAAUUAUGAAAACUGAGCAUGGUUUGACGUAUAAUAAUCUCUUCAGGCAUGAUGGUUUACAUUUCACAAAGCUGUUCAAUGACAAUAAAGACAAUGAGAUG